GCAGUGGUGAUUCAGUGGUAGAAUUCUCGCCUUCCACGCGAGAGACCCUGGUUCCAUUGCCAGUCAAUACA
RNAcentral lists this transfer RNA (71 nucleotides) under Loxodonta africana (African savanna elephant). It matches the Rfam family "tRNA". From Rfam's summary of the family: Transfer RNA (tRNA) molecules are approximately 80 nucleotides in length. Their secondary structure includes four short double-helical elements and three loops (D, anti-codon, and T loops). Lineage: Eukaryota; Metazoa; Chordata; Mammalia; Proboscidea; Elephantidae. The record is from Rfam by way of RNAcentral.